Molecule: ribosomal RNA, 371 nt
Filed under: uncultured bacterium
Lineage: Bacteria
Description: bacterial SSU rRNA
Rfam family: Bacterial small subunit ribosomal RNA
Source: RNAcentral
AUUGAACGCUGGCGGAAUGCUUUACACAUGCAAGUCGGGCGGCAGCGCGGGGGCAACCCUGGCGCGAGCGGCGAACGGGUGAGUAAUACAUCGGAACGUGUCCUUGAGUGGGGAUAGGCUCGGCGAAAGCCGGAUUAAUACCGCAUAAGCUCUGAGGAGAAAGCGGGGACUGGUAACGCCUCGCGCUGUUGGAGCGGCCGAUGUCGGAUUAGCUAGUUGGUGGGUAAAGCCCACCAAGGCGACGAUCCGUAGCUGGUCUGAGAGGAUGAUCAGCCACACUGGAACCUGAGACACGGUCCAGACUCCUACGGGAGGCAGCAGUGGGAAUUUUGGACAAUGGGGCAACCCUGAUCCAGCCAUUCCGCGUGAGU